Molecule: transfer-messenger RNA, 387 nt
Filed under: Bacilli
Lineage: Bacteria; Bacillati; Bacillota
Also listed under: 1 other name
Description: CAJMSU01 sp015059435 Standard tmRNA
Rfam family: transfer-messenger RNA
About the family: Bacterial tmRNA, also known as 10Sa RNA or SsrA, is named for its dual tRNA and mRNA-like properties. Its role is to liberate the mRNA from a stalled ribosome.
Source: RNAcentral
GGGGCUGACACGGUUUCGACGGGAAUCUUAGGAUAUAGAUGGCAAGUCGUACGCAAUACGUUAAGGCAUUUAAAUAUAACUGGAAACAGUAUUAAAAACGCAUUCGCUAAAAUGUUUGGUGCAUCUACACCAGCUUUAGCAGUAGCUUAAUCUAAUUUAAGCAAAUGCAGUUCUUUUAAUCUUUCUCCUAUGGAGAUUUUAAGAGCUUUAUUUUAGUAGGAUAUAUCUUAUUUUUGUCUAGAAAAUAAGAAGAAUUUUAUAGACUGGUCUAUCUAUAGGAAUCGUUAACUAGCUUUUAGAUAGAUGAGAAUUUGUAGUUAACUAAACUUGUAGAGGUUUAUAUACCGGGGUUUUCGGACAGGAGUUCGAUUCUCCUCAGCUCCACCA